Molecule: long non-coding RNA, 434 nt
Organism: Pan troglodytes (chimpanzee)
Lineage: Eukaryota; Metazoa; Chordata; Mammalia; Primates; Hominidae
Exons: 3
Source: RefSeq, a predicted model, not a curated record
GGCUCACAGGCCCGGCAGCGGCCCCCAGAGGCCGGGCUGGGAAAAGCAGCGGGCUUCAGCGGAUGACCAAGGUUACGACGGGAAGUGCUGGAGUGAAGCGGAAUGAACAAACAUGGCUCACUGCAGAUUUGACUUCCUGGCUCAAGCAAUCCUCUUGCUUCAACCUCCAGUGUAGCAGGGACCACAGCAUGAAAGCCCCUUUAGGGGAGGUGACUGGAAUCAUCCCCAAAGAAUUCUCACCUAGUCCUGGUGUGGCUGCUUCAUAGUCCUGUGUUUCUUCCUGCUUGGCUGUCCCUAACAUCUCAGAAACGCAUAGAGAAGUAAUGGGCUUCUAGAGAGGUAGGGGGUAUAGUGUUACAACUGAGGAUUUGGAAGUUGAGACCACCUGGUUCUUUACCAUCCACUAACCAUGUGACCUUAUGCAAUUUAUUCAA